Molecule: ribosomal RNA, 274 nt
Filed under: uncultured bacterium
Lineage: Bacteria
Description: partial 16S ribosomal RNA
Rfam family: Bacterial small subunit ribosomal RNA
Source: RNAcentral
AUACGAAAGGUGCAAGCGUUGUUCGGAUUUACUGGGCGUAAAGAGAGUGUAGGUGGUUUAUUAAGUCGGAUGUGAAAUCCCGGGGCUCAACCUCGGAACUGCAUUCGAUACUGAUAGGCUAGAGUUUGGGAGGGGUAAGCGGAAUUCCGUGUGUAGCUGUGAAAUGCGUAGAUAUACGGAGGAACACCUGAGGCGAAGGCGGCUUACUGGACCAAUACUGACACUGAGACUCGAAAGCGUGGGUAACAAACAGGAUUAGAAACCCCGGUAGUCC